Molecule: ribosomal RNA, 576 nt
Filed under: uncultured bacterium
Lineage: Bacteria
Description: partial 16S ribosomal RNA
Rfam family: Bacterial small subunit ribosomal RNA
Source: RNAcentral
UGGGGAAUUUUGGACAAUGGGCGAAAGCCUGAUCCAGCAAUGCCGCGUGUGAUGAAGCAGCUUCGGGUUGUAAAGCACUUUUGUCCGGAAAGAAAUCCUUGGCUCUAAUACAGUCGGGGGAUGACGGUACCGGAAGAAUAAGCACCGGCUAACUACGUGCCAGCAGCCGCGGUAAUACGUAGGGUGCAAGCGUUAAUCGGAAUUACUGGGCGUAAAGCGUGCGCAGGCGGUUUGCUAAGACCGAUGUGAAAUCCCCGGGCUCAACCUGGGAACUGCAUUGGUGACUGGCAGGCUAGAGUAUGGCAGAGGGGGGUAGAAUUCCACGUGUAGCAGUGAAAUGCGUAGAGAUGUGGAGGAAUACCGAUGGCGAGCGAGCCCGGCAAUACUGAGCUCAUGCACGAAAGCGUGGGGAGCAAACAGGAUUAGAUACCCUGGUAGUCCACGCCCUAAACGGUGUCAACUAGUUGUUGGGGAUUCAUUCCUUAGUAACGUAGCUAACGCGUGAAGUUGACCGCCUGGGGAGUACAGUCGCAAGAUUAAAACUCAAAGGAAUUGACGGGGUCAUAGCUGUUUCCU